RNAcentral lists this long non-coding RNA (26658 nucleotides) under Coffea arabica (coffee). RNAcentral describes it as "long non-coding RNA (CARA_LNC002719)". Lineage: Eukaryota; Viridiplantae; Streptophyta; Magnoliopsida; Gentianales; Rubiaceae. The record is from RNAcentral.
UUUUUUUUUUUUUUUUUUUUGUCAAGAUGAUAGCUACUUAGCAAAAAGAAUUCUUUAUUAUUUUUAUCCCAUUUUACAAUUUCUUUUCUUCCUUUUUUCUUCAUCUCUAAUCUCUCAUGUUUGCUCUAUUUUUUGAUCAUAAUGUUAUAGCCAACUGGCAUUUGUUUGUUAAAUUUAUAGGAUGAUGUUUUUAUUUGAUAGUUCUUCAUGGAUAAAAGGUGAACUAUUAAAAUAUCUUAGAAUUCAUUUUAUACCAAUGAUCAUUUUCUAUGAAUAAUAGAACAAAAAUUCAUUCUUUUAUUUUAUCCUCCCAUGAUUUGAUUUCUGACUUCACAUUUUGUUUCAUUUUCUUUGUUUUUUUGGUUCCAUUUUGUAAUUAUCUACAAUUUUGUGUAUUUUUUUAGGAGAAAGAUAUAUCAUGUGAUGUUUCCACCAAGAUAAAUCUAGCUAGGCAUCCUUGUAUCUCCAUUUUUCUCCAUUUCUUUUUUUUUUUUGCAAUUACUUUAUGGCCUAUUCAAUUUAAUUGAAGGAUCCAAUAAGAUUUUGUAUAUAUUUAAACUAAAGUUAAUUUUUGUUUGUUUUUUAAGUACUCUAAGUGUUGUAGUAUCAAUUGGGUUGGUAUUCAAGGAUUGCAGUCGGUGGUGGAAGUCACAAUUGAGACUUUCGACCUAGAGUGUGACUUGACAAAAAAUUGUUAGAAAAUUCAAUUUUGAUUAGGAAGAUGGUUUUGCAAUAAAAAAUAGUUCAAUUCUAAUUUGUAUAUGUAGAUCAAGAAACAUAGCAAUUCAUAUUUUUAUCUAAUCUUGCUAUUUAUAUUCUGGAGCUACAGGAUAAUGUUGUCACCUUUAGGCGGAAUUUAAAUAGAUGAACUGGAUUCUUCUAUCAAAAGAAAGAAAAAUAUGAAAGUUUAUAGUAAGCUAUAUUGAUGUUGAAGAUUGUGCCAUGUUUUAGCAGCUUCCUAAACUUUUUCUCAUUAUUAAAGUAUUAAAAGUAUUACGACUGCUUUUGAUUUAGUUUUAACUAAAACUAUACUAUUAUUAAUACAUCAAUGCACUUAUAAUGUAUUAAUUUUCUCUCCUUUUUGGGUAUCAUACAAUAGUGGUUCAAAAAUCUUUAUUCAAAUCACAAUAAAUAGGGAGGUUGAAUUCAUAGAUGGGAUUUCUCUUUACAACAAAUUUUGAGAGAAAUUUUUAUUUAUUCUCCAUAUUUUGUUAAUUGUAUUCCUACAAUAAACAAAAGGUAUAUGAUAAAAAUAAUAGCGGAAGUAUGAUUAACAAAAAUGAGAGUUCAAAUAAUAUUUGUCAAUUUUAAUUGCUUUGAUGUUCAAUUUUUCUCCUAUAUUUCUAUUCAUUUAUCAUGUGGCAAAAUAAUUUGGUGCCAUGCAUUCGACUAAAUUUCUAGGGGGCCCAAACUGUGCUUUGCACAGUUCAAGUGCUUCUAGUAAUUAUAAUUAAAAGACAUGAGGAUAAUUCAGGGAUAGCAAAAACUAAGAUUAAAAAGUACUUACACUCCCUAAUACUAACUUUUAUACUUUUUAUAUAGUAAUGAUGAUUAGGUCAAAGCUUAAACUGGUGUUAGGAAACCUUGUACCUAGAUUGGAGAUUAUUUGAAAUAAUUAUUGUAACAUUUUUUGCGAUAUAAUGUAUAUGAAAUAAAAAUGUAUUUGAGAAGAUAAAAAGUUAAUUGAAAAAUGCAUUUGCAAUGCAGACCAAGUCAUAUUUGGAAAAAAAAAAUUGCCACCCCCAUAUUUGUAGUUAAUGGCCGUUUCAGGCCCAACAUAUUCGAGCAAUCACUCCAUUAUGCCAUUAAGGAUUCUGUGUCCCAAAAUACAAUCUGCACAUUCACCUUAUGGCUUGAAAACGCAGGCUUUUAUGCCCCGUUUUUUUAACAGCUAAAUACAGUCUGACAUCCAAAACUACACGAGUCAAGUUCGAGAACAUCCGACUGAACGGUACAUACGUCAAACUAGAUACGAUCAUCAUGGAAAAGCGAGCUACCCAAGAAAGAGAGAAUUUUUAUAGUGAAUAAAAGAAGGCAAUGACAUUGAAAAUCAAAACUUUUGUGGCUGUAAAGCAAGAUUUUCCAAACGUAGCACCUACUUUGAUAUAGAAAGUUAUAAAUACCAACAGAAAAUAUGAAAUACUCCUACGCUCAGAAAAUAAUGCAAGAGUGAAACCAAAAAUUACAGCCAAAUUAAUCCUAUCCGUCAUGAUCACGACAUUAAUAAAUUACGGAGGAAAGAAAGACUCAUCUCACAACAAUGAUCCUAUUUUAAUUCCAAACAAUCUUCUAUCCCUCUUCCUCCAUCUUAUACUAAUUUCCCUUUUUUUUUGGGAACACAAAAAGAAGCAACUAAUUAGCUGAAAAUUUUAGAGAAACCAAGCUCUUGACAUGCGGAAUAUACCUCCAACUCUCAUUCAUUUCGUAACCCUUGUCCAAGUGAAAUGAGUUGAUAACUCCUGUCUUCAUAUUAUAUGUAAUGCAAUUUCUUGAUGGAUGUGUCUUAUGAUGGUAGUACCACUUUCCAUGUGGAAUCCCAUCUUCGUGUGCGACAUAGAGGACAGCAAUUUCCCCAUCUUUCAAGAAACCAACAGGCAGAAUUUGAAAUCCUGCUGGACAUAAAGUGCGCCGAAGCAUUUGCUCCUGAGGUCCUAGAUCAAUAAUGGCCAACUUAGUCCAUUCACCAGCUUCUGCAUCUUUUAGCAACCAGAGCUCCCAUGAAAACUUCCCCAAGUAAUCCAUGAAACAAAGUGACUGCCCAGUUCCAAUAUAAGUCCUCCUUUUCCUCUCGGGACAUUUUGGGGCAGCACGCGUGUAGAAAGUCUCGGUUUCAAGAUCUAAAUUAAGAACCAAAGGAAACUUAUAAUGUGUCCAAUGCAAAAUUCCUUCUGCACUAGAAAUUGGCUUGUUGAAAAACAAGUCAAAGAAUCCAAAUUUGUCAAUUUCCCUAGUCUCAUUCCGUCGGCAAAGGCACCUCCAUUCUCUAUCAACACCAAGCGUUAGUAUCCCACCUUCCAAUUUCUUCUGAUGAUUAAAGUAGAACUCAACCAGUUUAUAUUUCUUUGAGCAAGUAUAUCCUAUACCCGAAAAACUUGGACAUGCACUGUCUGCAGCUGAGGGAGGAGGGAGGGUUACAACUUCCUUUGUAACUAAAUUUGCAACAUAGCGAUUUCCAUCUUCACUUUCAGCCAUCAAGACCAAACCAUUACAACUGCUCGUACCAUAUUUUGGCAAAUGAGAAGAGUCUACCUCAGUGAUCUCAGGAAGAUCAUUCUUCACCAUUUUGACAUAAUGUAUAUUGCAAUCUUGAAGAAUUUGCUGGAUAAGCAUGCCCCUGUCCACCUUUAGGAGGUGUGCAUCAAUGAAUGUAGGACUAGAAAUGAUGUUGUACCACUCUCGACAGACACCUCAUCACAUUGUAAAGUAUGUCUGCAGGAAGGUAGACAAGAAUAUUGAACAUAAUUUCUGGUGAAAGAUAAGGUAUAGAAGGUCUCCGCCGUAUCUUCUGAUCAUUAGCAUGAGGAUAUAAGGUAUGCCUCUUAGAUUCUGGGACGCAAUGGGAUACAUUACAUUGCACUUUCCUGCAAGCAGGACGAGGACGGAGGUUAUACCUCUUGAGCAUAUGAUCGACCCCCUUAGCCAUCUGGACCACAAAACACUGAAGCCAAUGCUCUACUGCAAAUAUUCGUUAACACUCAGUUAAACUAAAAGACACUUAAAGAAGGGAAAUAAGCGGGAAAAAGGAUAACUGGGGGAGAAUUAAAACUAGCAUAACUAUGUCUCAGUUGAACAAGUCUCCAAUUGCAAACUGUUUAUAAAAUAUGCACAGUAUUGUUAAGGCCUUUAUGUAAACAAGGUACGUCUCUAUACACGUAAAAGGAUGAAACACUGUUCAACCAUAUCUUUUUUUCUCUCUUUUUUAAAGCGGUAUAUUGAUAGCCACAGUUCCAGAACUUCAAAGAUUUCAUCGGAUACUAUACUAUUUCCAUUUUGUGUUAUGUAUAUAAUCUUGUUGUGAUUGAUGGUUUAGAUUUUACGAUAUCUUCCGCUAGGAAAUUACCUAAUCGAUUCCUACAAAUUGACUAUCCCAAUUAUUCUCAUCACACCGUAAUCGCUCUCCCAAAUUCCGCCAUUUUCCAUUUCUACAAAUUUCUUAACCCUAGUUGGGAUUCUAUUUUGAGUUGAGAUUACUCCUAACAAAAAAAGAGAAAUUCUUUGGCCCUUUUGAAUCUCAUGUCCACCGAAAUCACCUUCCCUAACCCAGUCAGAAGCGGUUGUGAGAAAAUUGGACGUCUCUCUUCCGAAGAGAGACUCCACACUGCAGCAUUAGGAGCAAGAUCACCAUUUGGAGUAAGCUUUUUCUUCUUCUUUUUUUUUUUCCAGUUUGUUAUUCAGUUAUGCAUCUCUUUAUAUAAGGUGCUUUUUCUUGAAUUAUCUCUAGUAUUUUCUUGGAGCAGUACUUUUUUAUUAGUUUUCCAACUUGGUAGGAAAUUUCGUUUUGGAAAAAAGAUGAAAUGCAAGAUAAGCAAUGGAUUCCCUGCUUUAUAACGGUAGCUGUUGAAUGUUGACCAUCUCUGCCUGCAAAAAAUAUAGUUCAACUCUUCCCUUUUUUCAUCUGUUAAUAAUCAGCGCUCGGCUUAUUUAUUAUGCUUUUGUUUUGGCUUUUUCUAGUGAUUUGGGUUUUUGGAAUAUCCAGCUCUAAUUUUCUGGGAUCCACAAGUUCUGGAGAAUGAAUGAAUCCACUAGCCUGCAUAAAUUUCUAGGCUAAAAUUUGUUCCUGCAUCAGCUACUUGGGAUUUGGGUGGCCGGGGGGGGGGGGGGAGAGAGGAGGGGGUAAAGCUGGAAAUGGUUGUCGAUUUGCUUAAAGCGUCGACCACAUUUCACAGUCACAGUGGUGAUACUUGUUUUCUUCAAUUAUUCAAUUUAUAAUUUUUGAAACUGCAAAAAAUGCACUCAAUUUUGUUCAAUUGUUGGUAUAGAAAUGCUCAUUCUGGAAUAUGACAAUUUUAAAUGGAUUUGUGAUGCCUUUAUAGUAAUUGUUAGGGGCAUUAUCUACAAAAAAGUGUAAAAACAAAAAAGAUUGAAUCUUUAUUAGUACUGUAUCAAAAAGUUUUGAUUGAUAUCUUUGUUUAUUAUAUGCAUCAACUUCCUGUGCAGCAAAAAUAGGGAAAAAAAAGUAGAUCUUUACUUUGUCUUAAUUGAUAUCUUUGCACAGCAUAUUGCCAUUAAUUUCCCAUGCAGCAUUCAAGAAAGCUUUGAUUGUUGAUUUCGAACUUAUGCACAUCAAAUACGAACACAGCAAUACAAUUUUUAUCAUUUUAAGUUUUAAUAGUGGCACAUUAAAGUCUAUAGUAGCUUCAGUUUUCAGUCAUGGCAAAACUAAUGCUAUCCUUGUAUUGACCAAUUAAUCCUUUUGAAUUCAUUUCUGGAUCAGCUAUUGGAAUUUGAAAAUUUAGAAUGUAUUUGGAAUGCAUUAGUAUUUACUGUUAACAGUGGCGACAUACAAUAAAGAAGUUCAAUGUCCUGUAACUUUGAAGUUCUGGUGUAACUUUGAAGUUCUGGAACUGUGGCUAUCAAUAUACCGCUUUAAAAAAGAGAGAAAAAAAGAUAUGGUUGAACAGUGUUUCAUCCUUUUACGUGUAUAGAGACGUACCUUGUUUACAUAAAGGCCUUAACAAUGCUGUGCAUAUUUUAUAAACAGUUUGCAAUUGCAGACUUGUUCAACUGAGACAUAGUUAUGCUAGUUUUAAUUCUCCCCCAGUUAUCCUUUUUCCCGCUUAUUUCCCUUCUUUAAGUGUCUUUUAGUUUAACUGAGUGUUAACGAAUAUUUGCAGUAGAGCAUUGACUUCAGUGUUUUGUGGUCCAGAUGGCUAAGGGGGUUGAUCAUAUGCUCAAGAGGUAUAACCUCCGUCCUCGUCCUACUUGCAGGAAAGUGCAAUGUAAUGUAUCCCAUUGCGUCCCAGAAUCUAAGAGGCAUACCUUAUAUCCUCAUGCUAAUGAUCAGAAGAUACGGCGGAGGCCUUCUAUACCUUAUCUUUCGCCAGAAAUUAUCUUCAAUAUUCUUGUCUACCUUCCUGCUGACAUACUUUACAAUGUGAUGAGGUAUGUCUGUCGAGAGUGGUACAACAUCAUCUCUAGUCCUACAUUCAUUGAUGCACACCUCCUAAAGGUGGACAGGGGCAUGCUUAUCAAGCAAAUUUAUCCAGAUUGCAAUAUACAUUAUGUCAAAAUGGUGAAGCAUGAUCUUCCUGAGAUCAUUGAGGUAGCCUCUUCUCAUUUGCCAAGAUAUGGCAUAAGUAGUUGUAAUGGUUUGGUCUUGAUGGCUAAAAGUCAAGAGGAAAAUCGUUAUGUUGCAAAUUUAGUUACAAAGGAAGUUGUAACCCUCCCUCCUCCUUUAGCUGCAGCCAAGGCAAAUCCAAGUUUUUCGGGUAUAGGAUGUACUUGUUCAAAGAAAUAUAAACUGGUUGAGUUCUACUUUAAUCAUCAGGGGCCAUUGGAAGGUGGGAUACUGACUCUUGGUAUUGAUAGAGAAUGGAGGUACCUUUGCCGACGGAAUGAAACUAGGGAAAUUGACAAAUUUAGUUUCAUUGACUUGCUUUUCAAGAGGCCAAUUGCUAGUGCAGAAGGAAUUUUGCAUUGGACACAUUAUAAGCUUCCUUUGGUUCUUAAUUUAGAUCUCGAAACUGAGAUCCUCUACACUCGUGCCACUCCAAAAUGUUCCGAGAUGAAUAGGAGAACUUAUAUGGGAACUGGACGGUCACUUUGUUUCAUGGAUUACUUGGGAAAGUUUUCAUGGGAGCUCUGGUUGCUAAAAGAUGCAGAAACUGGAGAAUGGGAUAAGCUGGCCAUUAUUGAUCUAGGACCUCAGGAGAAAAUGCUUCGGCGCACUUUGUGUCCGACAGGAUUUCAAAUUGUGCCUGUUGGUUUCCUGAAAGAUGGGGAGAUUGCAGUCCUCUAUGUUGCACACGAAGAUGGGAUACCGCAGGAAAGGUAUUGCCGUCAUAAGACACAUCCAUCAAGAAACUGCAUUACGUAUAAUGUGAAGACAAGAGUGAUCAACUCAUUUCACUUGGAUAAGGGUAGCACUUUUGAAAUGAAUGAGAGUUGGAGGUAUACUCCGCAUGUCAAGAGCUUGGUUUCUCUAAAAUUUUCAGCUAAUUAGUUGCUUCUUUUUCUGUUCCAAAAAAAAAAAAAAGAUAUUGGUGUGAGAUGGAAGAAGAGGGAAGGGAGACUGGUUGGAACUAGAAUAGCAUCAUUGUUGUGAGAUGUCUUUCUUUCCCCAUUAAUUUAUCAAUGCCAUGAUCAUGAAGGAUUGGAUUAACUUAGUCGUAAUUUGUGGUUUCAUUCUUGCAUUAUCUUGUGAGCAUAGGAGUAUUUGAUAUUUUCUGUUGGUAUCUAUAACUUUCUAUUUCUCAUCAAAUUAGUUGCUACGUUUGGAAAAUUUUUUUAUUACAGCUGCAAAAGUUUUGUUUUUCAAAUGUCAUUGCACUCUUUUAUUGGCUAUAAAAAAUCUCUCUUUGUUGGGUAGCUCGCUUUUCCAUGAUGAUCGUAGCUAGUUUGACGCGUACCAUUCAGGUCACCCAGCCAUUGGAUGUUCUCUAGAGAAUCUUUUCAAGGCAAUGAUUCACAGGCUAUAGGUCCAUAAUUGAUAAGCUUUUCUUUACUAGUUAAGUCCUAAGAAUAUGAUUUAUAAUUUUUGGGAACAAUAAUAGAAGUACAAAAAUCUGAACUGCAGAAGAAAAUCAAUCUGAAAAAUCACAUACCCAUUCCACGAUUUGUGGCACCACCAAAUGUAGUGGAAAUGGUAUAAUUUGCAUUCUGUGAGUUCUUCGUCUUCUGCUUGAACUGGAAAGCUUUUUAUUCAUGGGAGGGGACUAUCAUUCUUAUGUUUGAGGUUGCUGCAAAUUUCGCUUAUAAUGUUGGAAGAUUGCAAAAUGGAUUCCUAUCGUUUCAAACCCAAUAUUUGGCAACAAUUUAUAGGUUUUCUGCGUGAGAGAUCAGAGACACAGUGUUGAAAGAAGAAACUUCAAAGAAAUUGCCAUAGUUGACUAAUUGAUUCUAAUAAUACGAGAAGUAAUUCUUAAGUUUCUUUGUUUGCUUUUAAUCAGCAAGCAAAAAAUUUUUGCUCGAGAAAAUGUAAUGCAAAAAACAUUGAAUGACAUUAGCCUAAACUUUGGAUAUUUGUAAUUUCAGAUAAAAAGUUCCAAGAAUUAAAAUGUGGAUUCUUCAAUUGCUGCUUGCCCCCUCUACUUUAGCUUCAGCUUCUGGUUCAUCGCUGGGUUCCACUACCUCAAGCUUCUGGUUCGUUGCUAAAUGGGUGCCCACUGUGAAGUGAAAAACAUUUACUUUAGCAUUUAGAAAAACUUUUAAUAGAGCAAAAAAGCAUGGGACAAAAAGUGAUACUAAUGGCAUAUUUUACAAAAGGAAGAUGAUCCUGUCAUUUUAGACACAGCUUUACAGAGUUGCAAUGGAAUGAGAAGGGAAUUCGUUAGCAAAGAAUGAAAAAUCUCCAACUGAUCAAGACGAUACAAAAGUAUUUGACUCAUAUAAAUUUAGCAAAGAUCUUUAAACGCCAAGAAUUUGUAGAUUUAGCACUAUCUAUUAUACACCUAUGCCUGGAUCUUAACUGCCUAUGUAGGGGCUAAAGUCUUAGGGAAUUGAUCCAUUUCCAACACAAAGCUUUUGAAUGUCAAUGAAGAUCACAGAAUAGUCAGUACACGAUUCCAUGACACUGGUCAAUUAUUUUCAUGGUAGUAUCGUCUAACUACUGCAGAAUAUGGUAAGGCUGAUGACAUCCAAGUAUCAUACUCGGGCUGUUCUCUGACCUAACAAUAAACUUUCCAAUCCACAACUACGCAGACGCAAACAUAUUAGGUUAAGCAAGAAGAGUUCUGUCAGGACUUUAAACAUGACUCUUUGUAAUAUUUUACACUCGAUAGAUCCUAUCUGUUCCAAAAGCCACUGAAAUUGUCCGCAACCCCUUUUAUAUCAGAAGCAAAAUGAAACAAAUAAAUGAGAAGCAAAAAGGAAUAGGCUUAAGACCUUGCCAUUUAAGCUGCCUAAGAUCAAUAACUUACCAUUUAUCUCUGAAUAAGUGAAAUCAGAAAUGAAUACAUCAAGAAACACUCAGGGUCAAUACUCAGCAAAGUUCUGUUAUGAGUUAGUUUUGGAAUUAUUGGCACACUUCUUUUCCAUAUUCAGAUAGACAAAAGGCAUCGCUUGAAAUUACCGUUACUUGUGAAUUUUAGGAAACAUGGCACCCUAUAAGAGAAGGAUUCAUCUUUACAUGUUACAGGUUGGAAAGCAGAAUGAGGUAAAGGAAAUGGGACUCUCUGCAUCAAUGCCUACAGCUUAGACAAAAGGGAAAAGAAGGGGUCAAAAGCAUGAACUGAUAACGGGGAUAGGGAUGGCGAGAAUCAAGAAAUCGUUGUAAGACAAUAACAUCAUACGGUAAGAAUUUUUAGCACGAGUAUCAAUCAAAGGAAUUUUCCUGCAAUAACAAAGUUUUACAACAAUGACAUAUUUUACUAAUAUUUUGGUAAUCUCCAUAUUCUCAUUUUCUCAAAAAUAUUAGCAUGAAAUAUAUGAAGAAAAACUGACUUCGACUUUUCAACUCAUUUAGAAAGCUGCAACAAUGCUUCUUUAGCCCACGAAUCUAUUUAGCAUAAACUUUUUUCCAAGCUCAAAACUUAGCUAUUUAACAUUUACUAUCUUUGUAUUAGACCCAUAAACUCCAACACUAGAAAGUAGAAAAUAGGUAAAACAGGGAAAGAGAGUAAAAGAAAAGCAACAGAAUUCCUAAAUCCUAACAGCAAAAUAGAAAUGAAAAACAGAAUUAAUUAGGAUGUGAAUAGACAAAACUUCUUGUUUUUAUUGUAGAGCACCUUGUCCGUUUUCAACGUAACUAGACAAUUUAGUAACAACAAUGUAGAAAAAGUAAACAAUGAAAUAAAUGUACCUGAUUUCUCUUUGAAUUCUUUUCUCCUCUUCUUUAAGUUCAUUGAUUUCAAGCCUUAGGCUCUCAAUUUGUGCCAAAGUCCUGAAACAAUGACUUUGAAUUGUAUUACCAGGUCUUUCUAACAUUUUCAUAAACAGAAAUAUUACCCUGCAAUAUAUUCUUAAACAAAAAUAUUACCCUGCAUUUGGGGUGUUCCUCAAGGUGACCACAAUCCCGCUAUCAUCUAUUUUCAUACAGAAGGUGGUGGAAACAAUGUCUUCAAUUUCUUUGAUAAGAUCAAUACAUUCUAUCUGCCCCUGCUCAGCUCCGAAAUUACUUUUAAGAGUACAAAUAAUGUUUUCCGCCAGUUUUGUAGAAGGCAAAGCAUCAGAAUCUGUAGGAAUCUCUGUAAGGACAUUGUAGUAAAUCAGAGUUUCCAAAAGCUGCCGACGUAAAGAUGUAUCUUCAUUGUUCAUAAGGAUUUGACUCACAAGUGCCCUCAAUUCCUUCUUUUUCUGGUCCAGAGUAUUUAGCAGUCCAGAUAAACUAAAACAGUUAAAACAAUGCAAAUCAGUCAAGCAUUGAGAAUUAAUAUAGAGUGAAGAAAUAAGGCAACACGUGAAUAAAAAAUUGGGCUGAUAAAUAGCAACUUUGAUUUGUAAAAUGGUAAAUUUUGUUAUCAUCAUUAUUUAUUCACAACUAAACCCCAAUCAGUUAUGACAAUUUCUUAAAAAAAUUACUAUGAACAUAACAAGACAUAUCAUUCUAAUAAAAUAAGUUGUAUGUACAAUUAUACAAUCAUUUAGUGUAACUUAUACACCAUAAACUCUAAAAUAUGGGGAUAAAUAUCACUUAUAUUAAGAGAGGAAAUUACCGUGUAUUUGGACUUUGUGCAUUUUCGCCAGAAGGACUUCCCAUGUCCAUGUUGGAGCAACCACCCGGGAAGUCAUGUGACCUAGGCAAUUCAUUGAUCAAAUAUGCUAAGGGCUGCAGUGAUCUUAAGUGAGAGCAAUCUUAUCAAUUGAAUGUUCCUAAAAAGCUAUCAUAUAAUUUUAUAACAAUAUUGGAGCAGAAGUACACAGUGGCAUAAUAUUUGCAUUAAUCCUGCCGCUUUCCUCAAUAUUACGAGCUAUACCUAUGUCUUUCUACUUUUGUUGCAGAGUAGUGUACUAGCAGUACAUUCUCAAGAUCUAAGCUCAUUCUGGACAACUUUUUCUUGGCAGUUUUUUGGGUUCAGAAAAUUGCAUUUCUGCAUAGGUGUUACUAAGGGAAUCAGAGGCAAAUAUUGAGGCAGUACAGAGCAAAUUUCGUUUCUGUCAGAUUUUGUGAGGUUUUUUGUGACAGAUACACCAAUUCACCUCAUACCUAUUCAGUUUUGAUUCGGGUAUGCCUUGAUAAAAGACUAGUGAAUGAUAAUUUUGUAUAAUAACGAGACGUAUAAAAGAAUAGUAAAACUUACAUUGACGUCCUCAUAUCCACACCCAGGGGUGAUGUACUGCUAUGCCCUUGUCUACUAGUCUCGUCAGUAUCUUUCCCCACCUCUUGCAUUGUUUGAUCUCGUUCAAUGUCCGUCCCCACUUCUUGCAUUGUGUGAACUCGUACAUCUGAGUGGUUUUUUUUCUUACUUGGCCUAGUAUUUAUUGGCCCUUUUAGUGCAGCAAUAACUUGUGGAUCAAGUUUACUCCUGUUGGAAACAUGGACUUAUAAAUAAUAUAUGCUUAAUAAUCAAUCACCCUUUAAUAACUUUGCCUCAUCCACACUAUUACAGAGAAUAACUUACCUUAUGUUUCUCAAUUGGACACUCCUACCCCCCUCCACAUCAGCAGAGGUGCUGACUCCUAUGGGUUGGAAUCCCUGAACUGGUGACUCUACCUCCCUAUCAUGAGAGCUUUCUAAACCCAUGCUGUCUCUUGUAGGCUCCAAACCCUCAACCUGUGGUUGUCGAUGAGAGUUUUCAGGACCUAUUGUGCCUCCUGUAGGCUCGAAACCCUCAACUUGUUCCUGUUGAUGAUUGCUUUCUUGACCUGUGGAGUCUCCAAUAGGCUCAAAACCCCCAAAUUGUGACUGUUGUGGCUCCAUCAUCUCCAUAUUAUGAGAGCUCUGAGGAAUUGUGCUGCCACCAAUAAGCUCGAAUCUCUCAUCCAUGCUCCCUCCCAUAGUCUCAUUUGCCCUACAAACAAUGUGGCAGAAUAGUUUGAAGAAAGAAAUCUUAACAUUUCAAGAAAUGCUCAUUCUUUAACCCAUUUAGCUUCUACAAAAACAUAUUUAGUGUGGAAUUGAUGUCAACAUGACUAAUUAAUUAUCUUACCCAAUUGGACUUCCAGCGAUAGCAUUAUUCUCUACCUCAUGAACACUAUUCUCCGCGUCAUCUGCACCUCUUUCUUCCCUAGACACCGGUACCCUAUAAAAUAAUAUUGAUCAAAUUUAAAGAAAUGCAAAUAUAGUUCGGAAAAUUUCCAACAACGCCCCAAACUUAAUGAAUUGUGUUAUUCGUUUGAGUUGAGUUAUAUAUACAACUCAAAUAUUACCUACGUCGCCUAGAACUUCUUGUCCUCCCUCUCAAUGUAGCCAAGACUGUUGGAUCAGUAUAACUACUGUAGAAAGCAUGAAAGUAAAUCAUGAGUGCUAAAGAGAUAAAAGUUCUCUACCCAGAAAGUGAGUCGAUUUGCAUAAUGAUCAGUGUUACUUACUUUUCCUGCCUACAAGAUCGAAAAGUAAUUUCUUUUAUCACUAGAUUCCCAGAAUCAACUCCUGGAUAUUAAAACUGAGUAUGUAAAUACAAGUCACAAAGUCCCCAAAGGAGAAAAAAAGAAAAAAGAAAGAAAAACAUCAACAUCCAAAUUAUUCUAACCUAGGCGAGUCUUCUGCCCCAGCGCUUUAAGGAGUGAGUUGGCAAAAUCUACAACCAGAUCUUUGGUAUUCUGAUCACCAUAUCCAUCAUACUUUGCAUUGACUGGUUCCAACUUUUUUCUGUAAUAUUCCUUUUGGCUCUCAGUCAAUGUUACCUCAUGCUUGGGGCGCUCUUCGGCAGGUGGUAACUGCAUACGCUUGCGUUUCUGGUAUUCUUCUCCCACAUUGCCACCUUGUUGCUGUUCUUGCGCUUGCUGCUGUUCUUGCAGAGUGGUAUCUUGGCGGUCUUCCAUUUAUAACUGCAACUUAACCACUGAAAAAUCAGGACAAACGCACAUUGAAAAGAGAAGAUAUGUGAUGCUAAAGGAGUAGAAAUCCCAAAUCCAAUUCCAGAAGAACAAGGAACUAGAGAAUGUUCUUGGAAGAACAAGAAUCACGAAAUUAGAGAGAGAGGAAGAAGCUAGCUGAUCUCUCCUGUUUUUUUUUCCUUCUUUUUAUUUGCUUUAGGGCAAAAAACUGCCUAACUAGCCAUCAGCAAUAACCCAAAUAACUAACUUCCAGAUCAGCAUUAACAAACUAACUGUCAAGAUUCCCUUGUACUGAUUACAAUCAAGAAUUGCUAACUUUGAUAUCAAACGGUGCAAAAAUAACAAAAUAACUCCAUAAUGCAUCAUAAUCCAAAUUAAUUUUAUGCAUUAAUUAUAUAUAAAAAAUAUACAUCACAAUGUAUGUUUACACGGUUUAGCACCUUGAAUGUGAUCAUGCAUGCAUGCACGCAUGCAUGGGAAGCAGAAAACAAUACAAGAUAGAGAAUUCCCUCUACAAGAAUUGACUAAUCUUAAAAAUUACAUAUCGUACGUAUUCGUCAUUGUCAAAAAACUACUGCAGCAACUAUAUGUAGCAUUAGUAGUAGUAGUAUGCAUCAGUUGCAAUAAAGGAAUAAUACAACGCAUAUAAUACAUCAGAAAGAAAAAAUAAUACAACGCAUAUAAUACAUCAGUUGCAAUAAUACAACGCAUAUAACUAGUGGCAAUAAAGGAAAAAAAAAAAAAGAAAGAAACAACAAGAAUUAAGAUGUAUGCAAAAAUUACCUCGUUAAAAGGUUUGAUCCCAAGAUGUGAAGUAACUACAACUUGUUUGAGAUUUUAGAAUUUCUAGGGUGGACAAAGAAAAACAUGGCCUCCUAUUUAUAAUGACCUGAUAAUUGGGUUUUAAGAACUUCCAAUUUCUGCUUUUGGAAGUUGGACAAAGUUUCGUGCAUGUCCAACCUUAUGGAAGCUUUCUAUAUAUUUCCUCUGAUGUUUUUCAUUUUAGGAAACCGCUCUAAUCCUUUUCAAUUCAUGAAAAUGAAGAAUUAAUAAAUCUAAAGUAAUAUAGAAUUGUAAACAUGCAACGCAACUAGAAAAUGAAUUUUGGUUUAUAUCCUUGUGACUUUAGUUUAUUGUUGGAAAAUAUGUUACUCAAAACAUGUAUGGAACUUUGAUUUGAAUCUAUCAAACUCUAUUAACUUUUGUUUGGAUUUGUUCAAAGUGGAAAUGAAGAGAAAUAGAAUAUAGAGUUACAUUGGUUCAAAAUUUUUUAGGUUUACAUUUUCUCCUAUGGCCGUCAAAGCUGAAGCAAUACAAGCAACCCAGCCAGAAGGGCUGUAUUUCUGGCUGAUCGCUUCUGAUUUAAGGAAGAUCAGGUGCCCAGUCUUGGCUUCAGCUGUCAAGCGGAGUGGUAUAUGCAUGACGAUUUAAAAGUGCUAUCUCUUAGUUUUCUUCUAGGUUUAUUUGACGUAGGUGAUUUGCGUACCAUGCGUGAUGAAUUCUUAAAGUGCUGCUUUAGGUGAAAUCUACAACUAGAAGGAUAGAAGGAAUCUGUGUAUUUUCUGAAGAAACUUCCAGUGCUUGACCUUUAUCAUCUACUUUGUCACGAAUAUUUGCAUCCGUUUUGUUUGAUGGAGACUUAUUAUCAUGUCAUUGUGGGUUAAUUAUAAUUGCCACGACAAUUGAACCUGUAAUCUUUGGCCCAAUCGUUUUAUCACGUUAAGGAACUGAAACCUUCAUUUACAAUAUAGCAGGGCGGUCCGAGUUGAUCGUUUGGAGGCACCUGGUCUUACUGCCCAAGCAAAUCUUAUUGUUUCCUCUUUACCUGCACGAUCUAAUCAGGCAGAGACAAAAGGUUUAUUCCCGUCGAGAACCACCCAGCAUCUCAGUCUGCCCAGACGAAUAGGCAAGAGCACACAACAACAUGCAAGAGCCUCUAACCUUUUCCCCAAAAUCAGGCGACGUACUGUGACCAUCCUGUGUUGCAAAGCCAAUUGUUUUUUUCAACUGUCUGCAAUUAAGGUUCGUACUGUCUUUGUUGUGUCGUCGGUAAUUAGGAUCCAUAAAUAUUUUUGCCGAAAUGUUGACCCUUUUUAAAAUUUACAAAAUUUAAAAAAGGGGGGGGGGGGGUAUCGGAUCCUUUGAUUUUUGGGUGCAAUGAACUUUAAAUGCUUAUUUACAUCAUUAAUGUUUUAAAUCCUCCAUUGUUCAAUUUCAAAUGAAUCUUUUCCACCACCAAGAUUUCAUCGGAUACUAUACUAUUUCCAUUUUGUGUUAUGUAUAUAAUCUUGUUGUGAUUGAUGGUUUAGAUUUUACGAUAUCUUCCGCUAGGAAAUUACCUAAUCGAUUCCUACAAAUUGACUAUCCCAAUUAUUCUCAUCACACCGUAAUCGCUCUCCCAAAUUCCGCCAUUUUCCAUUUCUACAAAUUUCUUAACCCUAGUUGGGAUUCUAUUUUGAGUUGAGAUUACUCCUAACAAAAAAAGAGAAAUUCUUUGGCCCUUUUGAAUCUCAUGUCCACCGAAAUCACCUUCCCUAACCCAGUCAGAAGCGGUUGUGAGAAAAUUGGACGUCUCUCUUCCGAAGAGAGACUCCACACUGCAGCAUUAGGAGCAAGAUCACCAUUUGGAGUAAGCUUUUUCUUCUUCUUUUUUUUUUUCCAGUUUGUUAUUCAGUUAUGCAUCUCUUUAUAUAAGGUGCUUUUUCUUGAAUUAUCUCUAGUAUUUUCUUGGAGCAGUACUUUUUUAUUAGUUUUCCAACUUGGUAGGAAAUUUCGUUUUGGAAAAAAGAUGAAAUGCAAGAUAAGCAAUGGAUUCCCUGCUUUAUAACGGUAGCUGUUGAAUGUUGACCAUCUCUGCCUGCAAAAAAUAUAGUUCAACUCUUCCCUUUUUUCAUCUGUUAAUAAUCAGCGCUCGGCUUAUUUAUUAUGCUUUUGUUUUGGCUUUUUCUAGUGAUUUGGGUUUUUGGAAUAUCCAGCUCUAAUUUUCUGGGAUCCACAAGUUCUGGAGAAUGAAUGAAUCCACUAGCCUGCAUAAAUUUCUAGGCUAAAAUUUGUUCCUGCAUCAGCUACUUGGGAUUUGGGUGGCCGGGGGGGGGGGGGUGGGGAGAGAGGAGGGGGUAAAGCUGGAAAUGGUUGUCGAUUUGCUUAAAGCGUCGACCACAUUUCACAGUCACAGUGGUGAUACUUGUUUUCUUCAAUUAUUCAAUUUAUAAUUUUUGAAACUGCAAAAAAUGCACUCAAUUUUGUUCAAUUGUUGGUAUAGAAAUGCUCAUUCUGGAAUAUGACAAUUUUAAAUGGAUUUGUGAUGCCUUUAUAGUAAUUGUUAGGGGCAUUAUCUACAAAAAAGUGUAAAAACAAAAAAGAUUGAAUCUUUAUUAGUACUGUAUCAAAAAGUUUUGAUUGAUAUCUUUGUUUAUUAUAUGCAUCAACUUCCUGUGCAGCAAAAAUAGGGAAAAAAAAGUAGAUCUUUACUUUGUCUUAAUUGAUAUCUUUGCACAGCAUAUUGCCAUUAAUUUCCCAUGCAGCAUUCAAAAAAGCUUUGAUUGUUGAUUUCGAACUUAUGCACAUCAAAUACGAACACAGCAAUACAAUUUUUAUCAUUUUAAGUUUUAAUAGUGGCACAUUAAAGUCUAUAGUAGCUUCAGUUUUCAGUCAUGGCAAAACUAAUGCUAUCCUUGUAUUGACCAAUUAAUCCUUUUGAAUUCAUUUCUGGAUCAGCUAUUGGAAUUUGAAAAUUUAGAAUGUAUUUGGAAUGCAUUAGUAUUUACUGUUAACAGUGGCGACAUACAAUAAAGAAGUUCAAUGUCCUGUAACUUUGAAGUUCUGGAACUGUGGCUAUCAAUAUACCGCUUUAAAAAAGAGAGAAAAAAAGAUAUGGUUGAACAGUGUUUCAUCCUUUUACGUGUAUAGAGACGUACCUUGUUUACAUAAAGGCCUUAACAAUGCUGUGCAUAUUUUAUAAACAGUUUGCAAUUGCAGACUUGUUCAACUGAGACAUAGUUAUGCUAGUUUUAAUUCUCCCCCAGUUAUCCUUUUUCCCGCUUAUUUCCCUUCUUUAAGUGUCUUUUAGUUUAACUGAGUGUUAACGAAUAUUUGCAGUAGAGCAUUGACUUCAGUGUUUUGUGGUCCAGAUGGCUAAGGGGGUUGAUCAUAUGCUCAAGAGGUAUAACCUCCGUCCUCGUCCUACUUGCAGGAAAGUGCAAUGUAAUGUAUCCCAUUGCGUCCCAGAAUCUAAGAGGCAUACCUUAUAUCCUCAUGCUAAUGAUCAGAAGAUACGGCGGAGGCCUUCUAUACCUUAUCUUUCGCCAGAAAUUAUCUUCAAUAUUCUUGUCUACCUUCCUGCUGACAUACUUUACAAUGUGAUGAGGUAUGUCUGUCGAGAGUGGUACAACAUCAUCUCUAGUCCUACAUUCAUUGAUGCACACCUCCUAAAGGUGGACAGGGGCAUGCUUAUCAAGCAAAUUUAUCCAGAUUGCAAUAUACAUUAUGUCAAAAUGGUGAAGCAUGAUCUUCCUGAGAUCAUUGAGGUAGACUCUUCUCAUUUGCCAAGAUAUGGUAUAAGUAGUUGUAAUGGUUUGGUCUUGAUGGCUAAAAGUCAAGAGGAAAAUCGUUAUGUUGCAAAUUUAGUUACAAAGGAAGUUGUAACCCUCCCUCCUCCUUUAGCUGCAGCCAAGGCAAAUCCAAGUUUUUCGGGUAUAGGAUAUACUUGUUCAAAGAAAUAUAAACUGGUUGAGUUCUACUUUAAUCAUCAGGGGCCAUUGGAAGGUGGGAUACUGACUCUUGGUAUUGAUAGAGAAUGGAGGUGCCUUUGCCGACGGAAUGAAACUAGGGAAAUUGACAAAUUUAGUUUCAUUGACUUGCUUUUCAAGAAGCCAAUUGCUAGUGCAGAAGGAAUUUUGCAUUGGACACAUUAUAAGCUUCCUUUGGUUCUUAAUUUAGAUCUCGAAACUGAGAUCCUCUACACUCGUGCCACUCCAAAAUGUUCCGAGAUGAAUAGGCGGACUUAUAUGGGAACUGGACGGUCACUUUGUUUCAUGGAUUACUUGGGAAAGUUUUCAUGGGAGCUCUGGUUGCUAAAAGAUGCAGAAACUGGAGAAUGGGAUAAGCUGGCCAUUAUUGAUCUAGGACCUCAGGAGAAAAUGCUUCGGCGCACUUUGUGUCCGACAGGAUUUCAAAUUGUGCCUGUUGGUUUCCUGAAAGAUGGGGAGAUUGCAGUCCUCUAUGUUGCACACGAAGAUGGGAUACCACAUGAAAGGUAUCGCCAUCAUAAGACACAUCCAUCAAGAAACUGCAUUACGUAUAAUGUGAAGACAAGAGUGAUCAACUCAUUUCACUUGGAUAAGGGUAGCACUUUUGAAAUGAAUGAGAGUUGGAGGUAUACUCCGCAUGUCAAGAGCUUGGUUUCUCUAAAAUUUUCAGCUAAUUAGUUGCUUCUUUUUCUGUUCCAAAAAAAAAAAAAAGAUAUUGGUGUGAGAUGGAAGAAGAGGGAAGGGAGACUGGUUGGAACUAGAAUAGCAUCAUUGUUGUGAGAUGUCUUUCUUUCCCCAUUAAUUUAUCAAUGCCAUGAUCAUGAAGGAUUGGAUUAACUUAGUCGUAAUUUGUGGUUUCAUUCUUGCAUUAUCUUGUGAGCAUAGGAGUAUUUGAUAUUUUCUGUUGGUAUCUAUAACUUUCUAUUUCUCAUCAAAUUAGUUGCUACGUUUGGAAAAUUUUUUUAUUACAGCUGCAAAAGUUUUGUUUUUCAAAUGUCAUUGCACUCUUUUAUUGGCUAUAAAAAAUCUCUCUUUGUUGGGUAGCUCGCUUUUCCAUGAUGAUCGUAGCUAGUUUGACGCGUACCAUUCAGGUCACCCAGCCAUUGGAUGUUCUCUAGAGAAUCUUUUCAAGGCAAUGAUUCACAGGCUAUAGGUCCAUAAUUGAUAAGCUUUUCUUUACUAGUUAAGUCCUAAGAAUAUGAUUUAUAAUUUUUGGGAACAAUAAUAGAAGUACAAAAAUCUGAACUGCAGAAGAAAAUCAAUCUGAAAAAUCACAUACCCAUUCCACGAUUUGUGGCACCACCAAAUGUAGUGGAAAUGGUAUAAUUUGCAUUCUGUGAGUUCUUCGUCUUCUGCUUGAACUGGAAAGCUUUUUAUUCAUGGGAGGGGACUAUCAUUCUUAUGUUUGAGGUUGCUGCAAAUUUCGCUUAUAAUGUUGGAAGAUUGCAAAAUGGAUUCCUAUCGUUUCAAACCCAAUAUUUGGCAACAAUUUAUAGGUUUUCUGCGUGAGAGAUCAGAGACACAGUGUUGAAAGAAGAAACUUCAAAGAAAUUGCCAUAGUUGACUAAUUGAUUCUAAUAAUACGAGAAGUAAUUCUUAAGUUUCUUUGUUUGCUUUUAAUCAGCAAGCAAAAAAUUUUUGCUCGAGAAAAUGUAAUGCAAAAAACAUUGAAUGACAUUAGCCUAAACUUUGGAUAUUUGUAAUUUCAGAUAAAAAGUUCCAAGAAUUAAAAUGUGGAUUCUUCAAUUGCUGCUUGCCCCCUCUACUUUAGCUUCAGCUUCUGGUUCAUCGCUGGGUUCCACUACCUCAAGCUUCUGGUUCGUUGCUAAAUGGGUGCCCACUGUGAAGUGAAAAACAUUUACUUUAGCAUUUAGAAAAACUUUUAAUAGAGCAAAAAAGCAUGGGACAAAAAGUGAUACUAAUGGCAUAUUUUACAAAAGGAAGAUGAUCCUGUCAUUUUAGACACAGCUUUACAGAGUUGCAAUGGAAUGAGAAGGGAAUUCGUUAGCAAAGAAUGAAAAAUCUCCAACUGAUCAAGACGAUACAAAAGUAUUUGACUCAUAUAAAUUUAGCAAAGAUCUUUAAACGCCAAGAAUUUGUAGAUUUAGCACUAUCUAUUAUACACCUAUGCCUGGAUCUUAACUGCCUAUGUAGGGGCUAAAGUCUUAGGGAAUUGAUCCAUUUCCAACACAAAGCUUUUGAAUGUCAAUGAAGAUCACAGAAUAGUCAGUACACGAUUCCAUGACACUGGUCAAUUAUUUUCAUGGUAGUAUCGUCUAACUACUGCAGAAUAUGGUAAGGCUGAUGACAUCCAAGUAUCAUACUCGGGCUGUUCUCUGACCUAACAAUAAACUUUCCAAUCCACAACUACGCAGACGCAAACAUAUUAGGUUAAGCAAGAAGAGUUCUGUCAGGACUUUAAACAUGACUCUUUGUAAUAUUUUACACUCGAUAGAUCCUAUCUGUUCCAAAAGCCACUGAAAUUGUCCGCAACCCCUUUUAUAUCAGAAGCAAAAUGAAACAAAUAAAUGAGAAGCAAAAAGGAAUAGGCUUAAGACCUUGCCAUUUAAGCUGCCUAAGAUCAAUAACUUACCAUUUAUCUCUGAAUAAGUGAAAUCAGAAAUGAAUACAUCAAGAAACACUCAGGGUCAAUACUCAGCAAAGUUCUGUUAUGAGUUAGUUUUGGAAUUAUUGGCACACUUCUUUUCCAUAUUCAGAUAGACAAAAGGCAUCGCUUGAAAUUACCGUUACUUGUGAAUUUUAGGAAACAUGGCACCCUAUAAGAGAAGGAUUCAUCUUUACAUGUUACAGGUUGGAAAGCAGAAUGAGGUAAAGGAAAUGGGACUCUCUGCAUCAAUGCCUACAGCUUAGACAAAAGGGAAAAGAAGGGGUCAAAAGCAUGAACUGAUAACGGGGAUAGGGAUGGCGAGAAUCAAGAAAUCGUUGUAAGACAAUAACAUCAUACGGUAAGAAUUUUUAGCACGAGUAUCAAUCAAAGGAAUUUUCCUGCAAUAACAAAGUUUUACAACAAUGACAUAUUUUACUACUAUUUUGGUAAUCUCCAUAUUCUCAUUUUCUCAAAAAUAUUAGCAUGAAAUAUAUGAAGAAAAACUGACUUCGACUUUUCAACUCAUUUAGAAAGCUGCAACAAUGCUUCUUUAGCCCACGAAUCUAUUUAGCAUAAACUUUUUUCCAAGCUCAAAACUUAGCUAUUUAACAUUUACUAUCUUUGUAUUAGACCCAUAAACUCCAACACUAGAAAGUAGAAAAUAGGUAAAACAGGGAAAGAGAGUAAAAGAAAAGCAACAGAAUUCCUAAAUCCUACAGCAAAAUAGAAAUGAAAAACAGAAUUAAUUAGGAUGUGAAUAGACAAAACUUCUUGUUUUUAUUGUAGAGCACCUUGUCCGUUUUCAACGUAACUAGACAAUUUAGUAACAACAAUGUAGAAAAAGUAAACAAUGAAAUAAAUGUACCUGAUUUCUCUUUGAAUUCUUUUCUCCUCUUCUUUAAGCUCAUUGAUUUCAAGCCUUAGGCUCUCAAUUUGUGCCAAAGUCCUAAAACAAUGACUUUGAACUGUAUUACCAGGUCUUUCUAACAUUUUCAUAAACAAAAAUAUUACCCUGCAAUAUAUUCUUAAACAAAAAUAUUACCCUGCAUUUGGGUUGUUCCUCAAGGUGACCACAAUCCCGCUAUCAUCUAUUUUCAUACAGAAGGUGGUGGAAACAAUGUCUUCAAUUUCUUUGAUAAGAUCAAUACAUUCUAUCUGCCCCUGCUCAGCUCCGAAAUUACUUUUAAGAGUACAAAUAAUGUUUUCCGCCAGUUUUGUAGAAGGCAAAGCAUCAGAAUCUGUAGGAAUCUCUGUAAGGACAUUGUAGUAAAUCAGAGUUUCCAAAAGCUGCCGACGUAAAGAUGUAUCUUCAUUGUUCAUAAGGAUUUGACUCACAAGUGCCCUCAAUUCCUUCUUUUUCUGGUCCAGAGUAUUUAGCAGUCCAGAUAAACUAAAACAGUUAAAACAAUGCAAAUCAGUCAAGCAUUGAGAAUUAAUAUAGAGUGAAGAAAUAAGGCAACACGUGAAUAAAAAAUUGGGCUGAUAAAUAGCAACUUUGAUUUGUAAAAUGGUAAAUUUUGUUAUCAUCAUUAUUUAUUCACAACUAAACCCCAAUCAGUUAUGACAAUUUCUUAAAAAAAUUACUAUGAACAUAACAAGACAUAUCAUUCUAAUAAAAUAAGUUGUAUGUACAAUUAUACAAUCAUUUAGUGUAACUUAUACACCAUAAACUCUAAAAUAUGGGGAUAAAUAUCACUUAUAUUAAGAGAGGAAAUUACCGUGUAUUUGGACUUUGUGCAUUUUCGCCAGAAGGACUUCCCAUGUCCAUGUUGGAGCAACCACCCGGGAAGUCAUGUGACCUAGGCAAUUCAUUGAUCAAAUAUGCUAAGGGCUGCAGUGAUCUUAAGUGAGAGCAAUCUUAUCAAUUGAAUGUUCCUAAAAAGCUAUCAUAUAAUUUUAUAACAAUAUUGGAGCAGAAGUACACAGUGGCAUAAUAUUUGCAUUAAUCCUGCCGCUUUCCUCAAUAUUACGAGCUAUACCUAUGUCUUUCUACUUUUGUUGCAGAGUAGUGUACUAGCAGUACAUUCUCAAGAUCUAAGCUCAUUCUGGACAACUUUUUCUUGGCAGUUUUUUGGGUUCAGAAAAUUGCAUUUCUGCAUAGGUGUUACUAAGGGAAUCAGAGGCAAAUAUUGAGGCAGUACAGAGCAAAUUUCGUUUCUGUCAGAUUUUGUGAGGUUUUUUGUGACAGAUACACCAAUUCACCUCAUACCUAUUCAGUUUUGAUUCGGGUAUGCCUUGAUAAAAGACUAGUGAAUGAUAAUUUUGUAUAAUAACGAGACGUAUAAAAGAAUAGUAAAACUUACAUUGACGUCCUCAUAUCCACACCCAGGGGUGAUGUACUGCUAUGCCCUUGUCUACUAGUCUCGUCAGUAUCUUUCCCCACCUCUUGCAUUGUUUGAUCUCGUUCAAUGUCCGUCCCCACUUCUUGCAUUGUGUGAACUCGUACAUCUGAGUGGUUUUUUUUCUUACUUGGCCUAGUAUUUAUUGGCCCUUUUAGUGCAGCAAUAACUUGUGGAUCAAGUUUACUCCUGUUGGAAACAUGGACUUAUAAAUAAUAUAUGCUUAAUAAUCAAUCACCCUUUAAUAACUUUGCCUCAUCCACACUAUUACAGAGAAUAACUUACCUUAUGUUUCUCAAUUGGACACUCCUACCCCCCUCCACAUCAGCAGAGGUGCUGACUCCUAUGGGUUGGAAUCCCUGAACUGGUGACUCUACCUCCCUAUCAUGAGAGCUUUCUAAACCCAUGCUGUCUCUUGUAGGCUCCAAACCCUCAACCUGUGGUUGUCGAUGAGAGUUUUCAGGACCUAUUGUGCCUCCUGUAGGCUCGAAACCCUCAACUUGUUCCUGUUGAUGAUUGCUUUCUUGACCUGUGGAGCCUCCAAUAGGCUCAAAACCCCCAAAUUGUGACUGUUGUGGCUCCAUCAUCUCCAUAUUAUGAGAGCUCUGAGGAAUUGUGCUGCCACCAAUAAGCUCGAAUCUCUCAUCCAUGCUCCCUCCCAUAGUCUCAUUUGCCCUACAAACAAUGUGGCAGAAUAGUUUGAAGAAAGAAAUCUUAACAUUUCAAGAAAUGCUCAUUCUUUAACCCAUUUAGCUUCUACAAAAACAUAUUUAGUGUGGAAUUGAUGUCAACAUGACUAAUUAAUUAUCUUACCCAAUUGGAUUUCCAGCGAUAGCAUUAUUCUCUAUCUCAUGAACACUAUUCUCCGCGUCAUCUGCACCUCUUUCUUCCCUAGACACCGGUACCCUAUAAAAUAAUAUUGAUCAAAUUUAAAGAAAUGCAAAUAUAGUUCGGAAAAUUUCCAACAACGCCCCAAACUUAAUGAAUUGUGUUAUUCGUUUGAGUUGAGUUAUAUAUACAACUCAAAUAUUACCUACGUCGCCUAGAACUUCUUGUCCUCCCUCUCAAUGUAGCCAAGACUGUUGGAUCAGUAUAACUACUGUAGAAAGCAUGAAAGUAAAUCAUGAGUGCUAAAGAGAUAAAAGUUCUCUACCCAGAAAGUGAGUCGAUUUGCAUAAUGAUCAGUGUUACUUACUUUUCCUGCCUACAAGAUCGAAAAGUAAUUUCUUUUAUCACUAGAUUCCCAGAAUCAACUCCUGGAUAUUAAAACUGAGUAUGUAAAUACAAGUCACAAAGUCCCCAAAGGAGAAAAAAAGAAAAAAGAAAGAAAAACAUCAACAUCCAAAUUAUUCUAACCUAGGCGAGUCUUCUGCCCCAGCGCUUUAAGGAGUGAGUUGGCAAAAUCUACAACCAGAUCUUUGGUAUUCUGAUCACCAUAUCCAUCAUACUUUGCAUUGACUGGUUCCAACUUUUUUCUGUAAUAUUCCUUUUGGCUCUCAGUCAAUGUUACCUCAUGCUUGGGGCGCUCUUCGGCAGGUGGUAACUGCAUACGCUUGCGUUUCUGGUAUUCUUCUCCCACAUUGCCACCUUGUUGCUGUUCUUGCGCUUGCUGCUGUUCUUGCAGAGUGGUAUCUUGGCGGUCUUCCAUUUAUAACUGCAACUUAACCACUGAAAAAUCAGGACAAACGCACAUUGAAAAGAGAAGAUAUGUGAUGCUAAAGGAGUAGAAAUCCCAAAUCCAAUUCCAGAAGAACAAGGAACUAGAGAAUGUUCUUGGAAGAACAAGAAUCACGAAAUUAGAGAGAGAGGAAGAAGCUAGCUGAUCUCUCCUGUUUUUUUUUCCUUCUUUUUAUUUGCUUUAGGGCAAAAAACUGCCUAACUAGCCAUCAGCAAUAACCCAAAUAACUAACUUCCAGAUCAGCAUUAACAAACUAACUGUCAAGAUUCCCUUGUACUGAUUACAAUCAAGAAUUGCUAACUUUGAUAUCAAACGGUGCAAAAAUAACAAAAUAACUCCAUAAUGCAUCAUAAUCCAAAUUAAUUUUAUGCAUUAAUUAUAUAUAAAAAAUAUACAUCACAAUGUAUGUUUACACGGUUUAGCACCUUGAAUGUGAUCAUGCAUGCAUGCACGCAUGCAUGGGAAGCAGAAAACAAUACAAGAUAGAGAAUUCCCUCUACAAGAAUUGACUAAUCUUAAAAAUUACAUAUCGUACGUAUUCGUCAUUGUCAAAAAACUACUGCAGCAACUAUAUGUAGCAUUAGUAGUAGUAGUAUGCAUCAGUUGCAAUAAAGGAAUAAUACAACGCAUAUAAUACAUCAGAAAGAAAAAAUAAUACAACGCAUAUAAUACAUCAGUUGCAAUAAUACAACGCAUAUAACUAGUGGCAAUAAAGGAAAAAAAAAAAAGAAAGAAACAACAAGAAUUAAGAUGUAUGCAAAAAUUACCUCGUUAAAAGGUUUGAUCCCAAGAUGUGAAGUAACUACAACUUGUUUGAGAUUUUAGAAUUUCUAGGGUGGACAAAGAAAAACAUGGCCUCCUAUUUAUAAUGACCUGAUAAUUGGGUUUUAAGAACUUCCAAUUUCUGCUUUUGGAAGUUGGACAAAGUUUCGUGCAUGUCCAACCUUAUGGAAGCUUUCUAUAUAUUUCCUCUGAUGUUUUUCAUUUUAGGAAACCGCUCUAAUCCUUUUCAAUUCAUGAAAAUGAAGAAUUAAUAAAUCUAAAGUAAUAUAGAAUUGUAAACAUGCAACGCAACUAGAAAAUGAAUUUUGGUUUAUAUCCUUGUGACUUUAGUUUAUUGUUGGAAAAUAUGUUACUCAAAACAUGUAUGGAACUUUGAUUUGAAUCUAUCAAACUCUAUUAACUUUUGUUUGGAUUUGUUCAAAGUGGAAAUGAAGAGAAAUAGAAUAUAGAGUUACAUUGGUUCAAAAUUUUUUAGGUUUACAUUUUCUCCUAUGGCCGUCAAAGCUGAAGCAAUACAAGCAACCCAGCCAGAAGGGCUGUAUUUCUGGCUGAUCGCUUCUGAUUUAAGGAAGAUCAGGUGCCCAGUCUUGGCUUCAGCUGUCAAGCGGAGUGGUAAAUGCAUGACGAGUUAAUAGUGCUCUCUCUUAGUUUUCUUCUAGGUUUAUUUGACGCAGGUGAUUUGAGUACCAUGCGUGAUGAAUUCUUAGUGUGCUUCUUUAGGUGAAAUCUGUGCUGCUCUAGAAGGAUAGAAGGAAUCUGUGUAUUUUCUGAAGAAACUUCCAGUGCUUGACCUUUAUCAUCUACUUUGUCACGAAUAUUUGCAUCCGUUUUGUUUGAUGGAGACUUAUUAUCAUGUCAUUGUGGGUUAAUUAUAAUUGCCACGACAAUUGAACCUGUAAUCUUUGGCCCAAUCGUUUUCUCACGUCAAGGAACUGAAACCUUCAUUUACAAUAUAUCGGGGCGGUCCGAGUUGAUCGUUUGGAGGCACCUGGUCUUACUGCCCAAGCAAAUCUUAUUGUUUCCUCUUUACCUGCACGAUCUAAUCAGGCGGAGACAAAAGGUUUAUUCCCGUCGAGAACCACCCAGCAUCUCACUCUGCCCAGACGAAUAGGCAAGAGCACACAACAACAUGCAGGGAAGAAAAAAAAACGCAGAAAUAAAAAGUGCACUUAAAAACAUAUUUUUAUUUUUUCUGAAAAAAAGCCCCGAUAAUAAAUAUCCAAGGCAUACACAACUAGCCUAUCAGGUAAACACCUCAAGACAAAAGACACAAGUACUGUAGAGUAUAGUCAGACGCCUUUUUCCACUCCUUCAACAGGCUCCUUGACGUCCGUAAGAUUGAUCCCCUCAACCAUUUCGGUUACAUCUUCAGCUGCAUCAUCCUUCACCUUGCCACUGGGUCCAUUU